AACGAACGCUGGCGGCAUGCCUAACACAUGCAAGUCGAACGAGACCUUCGGGUCUAGUGGCGCACGGGUGCGUAACGCGUCGGAACCUUCCCUCAGGGUCGGAAUAACUCCCCGAAAGGGGUGCUAAUACCGGAUAAUGUCUUCGGACCAAUGAUUUAUCGCCUUUGGAUGGGCCCGCGUUGGAUUAGCUAGUUGGUAGGGUAAAAGCCUACCAAGGCGACGAUCCAUAGCUGGUCUGAGAGGAUGAUCAGCCACACUGGGACUGAGACACGGCCCAGACUCCUACGGGAGGCAGCAGUGGGGAAUAUUGGACAAUGGGCGAAAGCCUGAUCCAGCAAUGCCGCGUGAGUGAUGAAGGCCUUAGGGUUGUAAAGCUCUUUUAACCGGGAUGAUAAUGACAGUACCGGGAGAAUAAGCUCCGGCUAACUCCGUG
Molecule: ribosomal RNA, 433 nt
Filed under: uncultured bacterium
Lineage: Bacteria
Description: partial 16S ribosomal RNA
Rfam family: Bacterial small subunit ribosomal RNA
Source: RNAcentral